RNAcentral lists this ribosomal RNA (486 nucleotides) under uncultured bacterium. Its description in RNAcentral is "partial 16S ribosomal RNA". It matches the Rfam family "Bacterial small subunit ribosomal RNA", at positions 28 to 523 of the family's 1533-position model. The record is from RNAcentral.
GACGAGCGCUGGCGGCGUGCUUAACACAUGCAAGUCGAACGGUGACCUGGGGUGCUUGCACCUUGGUGAUCAGUGGCGAACGGGUGAGUAACACGUGAGUAACCUGCCCCUGACUCUGGAAUAACCCCGGGAAUCCGGGGCUAAUACCGGAUAUGACACCAAUCCGCAUGGGUAUGGUGUGGAAAGUUUUUCGGUUGGGGAUGGACUCGCGGCCUAUCAGCUUGUUGGUGAGGUAGUGGCUCACCAAGGCGACGACGGGUAGCCGGCCUGAGAGGGCGACCGGCCACACUGGGACUGAGACACGGCCCAGACUCCUACGGGAGGCAGCAGUGGGGAAUAUUGCACAAUGGGCGAAAGCCUGAUGCAGCGACGCCGCGUGAGGGAUGACGGCCUUCGGGUUGUAAACCUCUUUCAGCAGGGAAGAAGCGAAAGUGACGGUACCUGCAGAAGAAGCACCGGCUAACUACGUGCCAGCCGCCGCAGUAA